CAAAACAAAACUAAAGAAACCCUAAACACAUCUUUUCCUCCCCAUCUUUUUCCCUUUCUUAUUCUUCUUUCUUCUCCUUCUUCCCCUUCCUAACCCUAGUCGCCGCCCUCCCCCUCCCGUUCUUCGACGAUCAACCCCUUCUCGUUCUCCGACGACGCAACAGUGCGGCGGAGGCGGCGAUAUUCGAUAGUGCAACGGCGAUAUUCGACAGUGCAGCGGCGGCAGGCUUCGACAGCGCGGCAGCGGCGGUCUUCGACAGCAGCAGCAGCACCUCCGGCGGUCUUCGACAUUAGCGGCGAUACGUUCAUCCCGGCGUCCCUUGGCAACACGAAACUGCGGUCGUCGACGUGGGUAUCUAGCAACAGCGGUCGGCGCACAAAACCACCGGCGGUAACAGUGGUGUUUUAGAUCCCGCGACCACGAUUCGUAAAGCAACAGCAGUGGCAACUACAAACAGCCCGAAUCCGACGACUCCAUGCCCCAAUUUGCUUGUUUUGAGUUACCCAUCCCCUUCGUAUUGGUUUGAUGUUGACCCACUCCUAUCUGGACCCAAAUUGACGUUACCCACCCACUUUGGCACUGACCCACUACUAACCCAAGUGUUUUUAGGGUGAGUUAAUAGGUAACGACUCACCUAACUUUAGUUUCGGUUCAAUUUAAGUGGUUUUAGUUAGUUUCUAACCUAAGUUUAUUUGCUUUGAUUUAGGAACACUUCAGUGAGUUUAGUAGCGCGUUAGGAAUUUGUAUGUUUUAACUCUUUAUGCAUGUUGGAUAUGUUUAUGGAUUAUACUGACAAUUAUACUCUUGGAUUGUUUGUCAAUUAUACUCUUGCAUUGUUUGUCAAUUAUACUCUUGGAUUGUUGUGUUUAUGAAAACAUACUGAGUUUAGUGAGAUUUGUUAUAUUGUGAAAGCAUAUCCGUAUAUUGUUUCGUGAUAAGUAUAUUGUCUGACACUUUUUUAUUUUUAAAUUUAAAUGACAAACAAAAACGAAAGGUUUUCUUCUGUUCCAUUAUAUAUUAUAUGUUAUAUAUUAUACAAUCUAUUUUUUAUGGGUGGAUUUAGAAUUAUUUAUUUUCAUCGGAAAAGUUAGUCACCACAUGGUUAGGUAGUGUGUUUGGAUGUCCCAUAGGUUUAUGAUAAAGUUAAUGAAAUCUUUUAUCAAAUUUCAACAGGAUUGAACUUUAAAAGUGCUAAAAACUUUAUCGCAAAUUACUUUUAAUAGUAUAAUUGGAAGAUGGAUAGAGAUUGGAUUAAGCUAAGAGAUAGGUUUUCAAGAGGGUAUGUAUGUUGAAGAGGUUUUAAAAUUUAUAGAGGUUACCAAAUUUCAUGUUAACGAGUUGGGAAAAACGAGAUGUCUGUGCAAAAAAUGUCAAAAUGUAUUAUGGCAACUACUGGAUGUAGUGGAACAACACUUAUUCAUUAAUGGGAUAUCUCCUACUUAUAGUCAAUGGAUACAUCACGGAGACCCUUUGAACUUAGAUCGAUAUUCAAGUGACACACCGUCGUCCCAUGAUGACUUAAGUAGAGAGUGUAAUGUUACCAGAGAAGAAAAUGAGGUGUUCGAUAUGCUAAACGAAAUGAGAGGUCCAAUGAUAGAAGAGGAUGAAAACGUAGAAGAUUUUGUAUAUGAGAUGCCGGCACAGGGUUUUGAAAGAGACAAUUCGAAUGAGUUUGAGGAUUUGAUGAACGAAGUAAGUCAAGAAUUGUACCCUAGUUGUACACAAGUUACCUCAUUGGAAUUUUUGAUCAAGUUGAUGCAUAUCAAAGUGCUUAAUAAGUGAAGUAAUACAUCAUUAGAUAUGUUACUCCAAUUAUUGAAGGUAUAGUUUGCUACUUAAUCUAACUUUGUAAUCUUGAUGAUGUUUUGAGUCAUACGUUGUCGUAGGUAUGCUGGGAACUAGUCAAGAAUUGGCCGGUGAUAUAUUCGAGGAUGCACAACGGGAUGAAGAGUUUGGAGAUGGACCUGAAGAAGACGCCUCCCGUAACACCGGUCGAUUGGGUGUACAGAUGCAUACUCGUUAUGUUGACUUAGACAAGGAGGUGACAAAAAAUGGGAGAAUCAAAAUUGUUAUUGACGAGAACCAUGAUAAGCUAGUAUGUGCAAAUGCUACACGGUUCUCGAAUACUAUAGGCUCUGUUGUUAGAGAAAAUAUUAGUCCGGUGGAGUACACGAAGUGGAAUGAGGUACUAGAGGAAAUGAUAGGAAAAGCCAUCAAACGCGUAAUUAGGCAAAGAUGAAUAAAUUCGUCUUUAAGCAUAUUCAAUUGACAUUUAAGAAGUAUCGGGCAGAAUUGUAGCCACAUCGACGAAUUGAGAAGCUAGAUGAUUGGUACAGGUCGUGCGAUAAAUGGGAAACUCCUGAAUGGAAGGAAAAAUCAGAGACAAACAAAACGAGUAGGUCAAAGGUCACUUACAAUCAUCGGGUCGGGUCUAAAACAUUCGACCGUAUGCAACAAGAACUGGUAAUAUUGACAAUUACACGUAUUAUUACUGUAUGUUCUGCACUGACAGAUGAAAUUCAUGUGAAAUGUAGAAAGACAAACUUGGCGUGGAGAUCGGUCCCGUCCAAAUGUUUAAAGAGACGAGAUAUAAUCCUGAAAAAGGAUGGGUAAACCCCAUGUCGAAAUAACAUAUAAAGCGUCAGAAGACAUGAGGGAUGCAUCUGUACCAGAAGGGACCGAUCCGCCAACAGAAGCAGAUUGUUGUCGAACUGUAUUCGGUCCUCGUUCCAGAUUCGUCUGAAGCAUGGGGUUGGGCCCAGCACCAGGAGGAAAAGAGGAAGCUCAUCCAACAAUCCAAGAGUCAUGGAGGAACUAAAUGCGACGAAAGACGAAUUGAGGGAGACUAAAGAACGAUUGGACAAUACCGAAAAUCGCUUAAGUCGAAUUGAAGAAUGUUUAGCCAAAAAUCUACGAGAGUUCAAUAACCUUAAAAACUUAUUCGAAAGUUUCAUGAGUCAAUCCUCAGGCGGCUCAUUCCCUAUGUCUGAAUAGGCAUAAAGCAUUUACUUAGGUUUUUGUAGCUUUUGAAAUAUAUUGAACGUGUAAUUUCAAGAAUCUUUGGAACACGUGAACUUUGAUGAUAUUUUGGUACUUGAUAUUUUGGUUUAUGAUAU
This is a non-coding RNA of Momordica charantia (bitter melon), 3116 nucleotides long. NCBI's taxonomy places the organism in Eukaryota, Viridiplantae, Streptophyta, Magnoliopsida, Cucurbitales, Cucurbitaceae. The record is from RefSeq and is a predicted model, not a curated record.